UUCCGGUUGAUCCUGCCGGAGGUUACUGCUAUCGGUGUUCGACUAAGCCAUGCUAGUUAAAUGUUCUUCGUGAACAUAGCGGACUGCUCAGUAACACGUGGACAAUCUGCCCUUGGGUUCAGCAUAACCCCGGGAAACUGGGGAUAAUUCUGAAUAGAUCACAUAUGCUGGAAUGCUUUGUGAUUUAAAGAUCCGUCGCCCAAGGAUGGGUCUGCGGCCUAUCAGGUUGUAGUGGGUCUAGAGUACCUACUAGCCAACGACGGGUACGGGUUGUGAGAGCAAGAGCCCGGAGAUGGAUUCUGAGACAUUAAUCCAGGCCCUACGGGGCGCAGCAGGCGCGAAACCUUUACACUGCGGGAAACCGCGAUAAGGGGACACCGAGUGCCAGCAUACAAUGCUGGCUGUCCACAUGUGUAAAUAGCAUGUGAUAGCAAGGGCCGGGCAAGACCGGUGCCAGCCGCCGCGGUAACACCGGCGGCCCGAGUGGUAAUCACUAUUAUUGGGUCUAAAGGGUCCGUAGCCGGUUUAAUCAGUCUUCCGGGAAAUCUGACAGCUCAACUGUUAGGCUUCCGGGGGAUACUGUUAGACUUGGGACCGGGAGAGGUAAGAGGUACUACAGGGGUAGGAGUGAAAUCUUGUAAUCCCUGUGGGACCACCAGUGGCGAAGGCGUCUUACCAGAACGGGUCCGACGGUGAGGGACGAAAGCUGGGGGCACGAACCGGAUUAGAUACCCGGGUAGUCCCAGCCGUAAACGAUGCUCGCUAGGUGUCUGGAAUGGUGCGACCGUUUCAGGUGCCGCAGGGAAGCCGUGAAGCGAGCCACCUGGGAAGUACGGCCGCAAGGCUGAAACUUAAAGGAAUUGGCGGGGGAGCACUACAACGGGUGGAGCCUGCGGUUUAAUUGGAUUCAACGCCGGG
RNAcentral lists this ribosomal RNA (918 nucleotides) under uncultured archaeon. RNAcentral's name for it is "bacterial SSU rRNA". It matches the Rfam family "Archaeal small subunit ribosomal RNA", at positions 1 to 922 of the family's 1478-position model. The record is from RNAcentral.